GGGUGAGUGAGUGAGUGAGUGGGUGAAUGGGUUAGUGGGUGAGUGGGUGAGUAGGUGAGUGGGUGAGUGAGUUGUGAUGGUUGGAAUAUCUUACAACUGAUAUGUAUCAAAAUGUAUCACUGUCAUUACUGUUGUCAGAUGUCAAAUUUAUUCACAGUUUCAACCUCCGAGGUUGCCCGCAUAGUUGUGGGUGAGUGAGUGAGUGAGUGAGUGAGUGAGUGAGUGAGUGGGUGAGUGGGUGAGUGAGUUGUGAUGGUUGGAAUAUCUUACAACUGAUAUGUAUCAAAAUGUAUCACUGUCAUUACGUUUGUCAGAUGUCAAAUUUAUUCACAUUUGUAAGUGUAUGGAAUUUGUUUGAACAGUUAUAACAUACACGGUAGACAGUAGACAAAUCUCCAGUCUCACCAAGACUGUUAAGUCCAAUAAAAGAACCCACUGUACUAUACGUUUUAAAAAGUAAACGUUUAAAAUGAUUUAGAUAAAAUACAAAUAAAUGUUGAAAACAUUUUCAGUUUGUUGCACUGAUGAGAAAAAAUUGACACUGUAUCCUGAAGAAAUGAAUAAACAUUUUCACUGCAAACUGGCAUUUGUAAAACGAUGUGCAACUGUGAGUGAGAUAAUAUUGUGUUACGUUGCCCAAGCAGGUUUGCUGUUGUCCAAGGCAAUUUGUACUUAUAAGUUAUUAUUCAAUGGAAACCUAAUGUCCCUCUUAAACGUCAUCAAUUUGCUUGUACGGACAUUCCAGAGCACACAAGAACCUAAUGACCACAGCAACUUUGUUGUCACAGUGAACUAUUUCCACGGUGACGAUUACAGCUCGUUUUUCCAAUUUACAUCAUAGAGUAUUAUAUCAUA
This is a long non-coding RNA of Haliotis rubra (blacklip abalone), 855 nucleotides long. RefSeq lists it as uncharacterized. The transcript has 2 exons. NCBI's taxonomy places the organism in Eukaryota, Metazoa, Mollusca, Gastropoda, Lepetellida, Haliotidae. The record is from RefSeq and is a predicted model, not a curated record.